Long non-coding RNA from Lontra canadensis (Northern American river otter), 856 nucleotides. RefSeq lists it as uncharacterized. The transcript has 3 exons. NCBI's taxonomy places the organism in Eukaryota, Metazoa, Chordata, Mammalia, Carnivora, Mustelidae. The record is from RefSeq and is a predicted model, not a curated record.
CAGGGCCCAAGGAAGGAAACGCAAGGGUCAUGAGCAGUGGAGGCCACAGGAGCUACCAGUGAGACACUAGCAAGCAGUGAUGAGCUCCACAGAGAUGGAACGGCCUUGGGGGACACUGGCAGCAGGGCCUGCCAGGAGGAGCCUCAACACAUUGGGGGGACAAGGGGCCUUGUGACCGGGAUGGGGUCCUUGGGAAGGAGCACACAGAAAUCAUCAAGCACCAAGGCCCUGGGGCAGACAUCAACGACUGUAUGGAUGUGGGCUCCACAUCCAGCGCAGAGCCCAACGCAGGAGUUGAACUCAGACCCUGAGGUCGAGACCUGAGCUGAGAUCGAUUCAGAUGCUUAACCGACUGAGCUCCCCAGGCGCCCCUGAUUCUCUACCUUCUGAGCACCCAAGCUGGUUCAUGGAUCCACAUGGGGAGUUCCAACAAGGGUUGCUUCUGGUCCUCUUUGAGAGCCACGCCCACCCCCCUGCCCCUCGCCCCUGCCCUGCCCUGUGCUCGCAGCAACCACUCAUCUGCCCUCAUUCCUAAAACUAUGUCGUCUCAGUACUGCACAAAGGGAGUCAGGCGGCGAGUAACCUGCUGAGAUCGGCUGUUCUGCUCGUGUCCUUGUAUUGAUUGCCAAUAGUUGUGGUAGAAGCAAGAAGAGCUGAUGUUGCAGAUGAGGUCAGAAGGCAGUCUGCUGGAGAAUUCCCUCUCGCCUUGGGGAGGUCUGCCUUUUGUGCUCUUCAGGCCUUCAACUGAUUGGACGAGGCCCACCAACAUUAUAGUGGGCAAACUUCACUCAAAGUCCACCAAUUUAAAUGUAACUGUUGGGGUACCUGGGUGGCUCAGUGGGUUAAAGCCUCUGCC